This 497-nucleotide ribosomal RNA is filed under the name uncultured bacterium. RNAcentral describes it as "partial 16S ribosomal RNA". It matches the Rfam family "Bacterial small subunit ribosomal RNA", at positions 28 to 507 of the family's 1533-position model. The record is from RNAcentral.
GAUGAACGCUGGCGGCGUGCCUAAUACAUGCAAGUCGAGCGAACAGACGAGGAUCUUGCUCCUCUCACGUUAGCGGCGGACGUGUGAGUAACACGUGUAUAACCUACCUAUAAGACUGGUAUAACUUCGGGAAACCGGAGCUAAUACCGGAUAAGCUAUUGAACCACAUUGUUCAAUAGUAAAAUACGGUUUUUCGGGCACUUAUAGAUGGAUCUGCGCCGUAUGGGCUGGUUGGGAAGGUAACGGGUUACCAAGGGGACGAUGCGUAGACGACCGGAGAGAGUGAUCGGCGACACUGGAGGUGAGACGCGGACAUGAGGACUAAGGGAGGCAGCAGUCGCGAAUGUUCCGCAAUGGGGGAGAGCAUGACGGAGCAACGGCGCGUGAGUGAUGGCGGUCUUCGGAUCGUAAAACUCUGUUACUAGUGAAGAACCAAUGUGUAAGUAACUAUGCACGUCUUGACGGUACCUAAUAAGAAAGCCACGGCUAACUACGUG